This 253-nucleotide ribosomal RNA is filed under the name uncultured bacterium. RNAcentral's name for it is "partial 16S ribosomal RNA". It matches the Rfam family "Bacterial small subunit ribosomal RNA", at positions 524 to 776 of the family's 1533-position model. The record is from RNAcentral.
UACGUAGGCAGCGAGCGUUGUUCGGAAUUACUGGGCGUAAAGAGUGUGUAGGCGGUGCUCUAAGUUCGGUGUGAAAUCUCCUGGCUUAACUGGGAGGGUGCGCCGGAAACUGGAGUGCUUGAGCGUGGGAGAGGAAAGCGGAAUUCCUGGUGUAGCGGUGAAAUGCGUAGAUAUCAGGAGGAACACCUGUGGUGUAGACGGCUUUCUGGACCAUAGCUGACGCUGAAGCACGAAAGCGUGGGUCGCGAAUGGG